This 281-nucleotide long non-coding RNA is filed under the name Lathyrus oleraceus (garden pea). RNAcentral's name for it is "Pisum sativum (pea) long non-coding RNA (PSAT_LNC022175)". The record is from RNAcentral. Lineage: Eukaryota; Viridiplantae; Streptophyta; Magnoliopsida; Fabales; Fabaceae.
AAUAAUGCAAAAGCAAUAUUUGGAUUUUCCCUCGCCGGGAUUCGAAGUGGAACCACAUUUGAAUGAGCGCGCUUAGUUAGUGAAACGCACCGUUUCACUUAACUGAUGUGGCACUGCAAAGCGCUCAUGGCCAAUCAAAUUGCCACGCACAUGACACUUGGACCAGUACAUGUCCAGAAACAUAAACAAACAUGCAAAACACGCCAGGCAAGAUCAAACAUAGUUUCUGGAAAAAUAUUUCAACAUCUUCAAGCGCAUUCAUCAUGUUCAUACAAGCCAAG